UGGGAAUCUUGGACAAUGGGGGAAACCCUGAUCCAGCCAUGCCGCGUGAGUGAUGAAGGCCUUAGGGUUGUACAGCUCUUUCGCACGCGACGAUAAUGACGGUAGCGUGAGAAGAAGCCCCGGCUAACUUCGUGCCAGCAGCCGCGGUAAUACGAAGGGGGCUAGCGUUGUUCGGAAUUACUGGGCGUAAAGCGCGCGCGGGCGGGUCAUCAAGUCAGAGGUGAAAGCCCGGAGCUUAACUCCGGAAUAGCCUUUGAAACUGUUGAGCGUGAGUACGGGAGAGGUGAGUGGAAUUCCCAGUGUAGAGGUGAAAUUCGUAGAUAUUGGGAAGAACACCAGUGGCGAAGGCGGCUCGCUGGCCCGUUACUGACGCUCAGGCGCGAUAGCGUGGGGAUCAAACA
RNAcentral lists this ribosomal RNA (401 nucleotides) under uncultured bacterium. Its description in RNAcentral is "bacterial SSU rRNA". It matches the Rfam family "Bacterial small subunit ribosomal RNA", at positions 356 to 774 of the family's 1533-position model. The record is from RNAcentral.